Molecule: long non-coding RNA, 87 nt
Organism: Myotis brandtii (Brandt's bat)
Lineage: Eukaryota; Metazoa; Chordata; Mammalia; Chiroptera; Vespertilionidae
Exons: 3
Source: RefSeq, a predicted model, not a curated record
UAGGACCUGGGUUUCAAGGUCUGGGCAGUUCUUACUGAAUGCUAUUCUUGCUAAAUGCUAAAAUAUAGCACAGUCGGGUUUGAUUCC